AGCGUUGCUCGGAAUUACUGGGCGUAAAGGGAGCGUAGGCGGACAUUUAAGUCAGGGGUGAAAUCCCAGAGCUCAACUCUGGAACUGCCUUUGAUACUGGGUGUCUUGAGUGUGAGAGAGGUAUGUGGAACUCCGAGUGUAGAGGUGAAAUUCGUAGAUAUUCGGAAGAACACCAGUGGCGAAGGCGACUUACUGGACCAUUACUGACGCUGAGGCUCGAAAGCGUGGGGAGC
This 233-nucleotide ribosomal RNA is filed under the name uncultured bacterium. RNAcentral's name for it is "partial 16S ribosomal RNA". It matches the Rfam family "Bacterial small subunit ribosomal RNA", at positions 537 to 769 of the family's 1533-position model. The record is from RNAcentral.